This 844-nucleotide ribosomal RNA is filed under the name Codinaea dwaya. Its description in RNAcentral is "eukaryotic LSU rRNA". It matches the Rfam family "Eukaryotic large subunit ribosomal RNA", at positions 75 to 937 of the family's 3401-position model. Lineage: Eukaryota; Fungi; Ascomycota; Sordariomycetes; Chaetosphaeriales; Chaetosphaeriaceae. The record is from RNAcentral.
UUGCCUUAGUAACGGCGAGUGAAGCGGCAACAGCUCAAAUUUGAAAGCUGGCCCUUUUAGGGUCCGCGUUGUAAUCUGUAGAGGAUGGUUCGGCGAGGGCUCCCGCCUAAGUCCCCUGGAACGGGGCGUCAUAGAGGGUGAGAAUCCCGUAUGCGGUGGGUUGCCUUAGCCAUGUGAACCUCCUUCGACGAGUCGAGUUGUUUGGGAAUGCAGCUCUAAAUGGGAGGUAAAUUUCUUCUAAAGCUAAAUACCGGCCAGAGACCGAUAGCGCACAAGUAGAGUGAUCGAAAGAUGAAAAGCACUUUGGAAAGAGAGUUAAAAAGUACGUGAAAUUGUUGAAAGGGAAGCGCUUGCAACCAGACUUGUCCGCAGUUGCUCAGCCGGUCUCCUGACCGGCGUACUCUUCUGCGGCCAGGCCAGCAUCAGUUCGGGCGGUCGGAUAAAGGCCUCGGGAAUGUGGCUCCUCUCGGGGAGUGUUAUAGCCCGGGGCGGAAUGCGGCCAGCCUGGACUGAGGAUCUCGCUUCGGCAAGGAUGCUGGCGUAAUGGUUGUAAGCGGCCCGUCUUGAAACACGGACCAAGGAGUCUAACAUCUAUGCGAGUGUUUGGGUGUCAAACCCAUACGCGUAAUGAAAGUGAACGGAGGUGGGAACCCGCAAGGGCGCACCAUCGGCCGAUCCUGAUGUCUUCGGAUGGAUUUGAGCAAGAGCAUAGCUGUUGGGACCCGAAAGAUGGUGAACUAUGCCUGAAUAGGGUGAAGCCAGAGGAAACUCUGGUGGAGGCUCGCAGCGGUUCUGACGUGCAAAUCGAUCGUCAAAUUUGGGUAUAGGGGCGAAAGACUAAUCG